This 440-nucleotide ribosomal RNA is filed under the name uncultured bacterium. RNAcentral's name for it is "partial 16S ribosomal RNA". It matches the Rfam family "Bacterial small subunit ribosomal RNA", at positions 338 to 795 of the family's 1533-position model. The record is from RNAcentral.
CCUACGGGUGGCAGCAGUGGGGAAUAUUGCACAAUGGGGGAAACCCUGAUGCAGCGACGCCGCGUGAAGGAAGAAGUAUUUCGGUAUGUAAACUUCUUUCAGCAGGGAAGAAAAUGACGGUACCUGACUAAGAAGCCACGGCUAAUUACGUGCCAGCAGCGGCGGUACUACGUAGGGGGCAAGCGUUAUCCGGAUUUACUGGGUGUAAAGGGGGCGUAGGAGGUUUAGCAAGUCAGAAGUGAAAGCCCGGGGCUCAACUCCGGGACUGCUUUUGAAACUGGUGAACUAGAUUGCAGGAGAGGUAGGUGGAAUUCGUAGUGUAGCGGUGAAAUGCGUAGAUAUUAGGAGGAACACCAGUGGCGAAGGCGGCUUACUAGACUGUAAAUGACGCUGAGGCUCGAAAGCGUGGGGAGCAAACAGGAUUAGAUACCCCAGUAGUC